CGGAUAUUUCGUGAAGGCGGAGCUCGACCGCCCACAAAAGAGAUAGUUGGAUUUAUCGACAGAUACCGGAACAAGUAUGGAGUCGAGUCAAUCUGCAAAACGCUGCCGAUUGCUCCA
The sequence is a regulatory RNA element, 117 nucleotides long. It matches the Rfam family "ALIL pseudoknot". The record is from Rfam.